ACAAAAUGGUGAAACUAGCUGGCCAUUGUACGCAGAUAAACUCCUCUAGGAGAAGGUACUGAAGAAACAAGGCAGCAGCAAAUGACUGCAGGAGAAUAAAGUCUUCAAGAAUUGUUACUUUGCCAGUCAAUGGACAAGGAGGGGGAUAAAAAACAAAGCAAAAUGGAUUGUCAUUUGAUUUUAAACUUCUAAUCUUCAGCUCAUUUACUGACACUGUGGCUGGAAUCUUCUGCUCUUACAAUAUUAGCAGUUGUCAGGUUUGUCAGUUCUGGAUAUCAACCCCAGGAAAGUCAGAAUUGUGCUUACAAUUAGGAUGAUGCAUUUCAGAGGACUCCUUUAUGUUAGGUAUUGAAUUAAGGAUGGUGGAUGUGUGCGUUGCCCUUGUGGAACAUGGAGAACGGUGGCCCACUAUAAUGGAAGCUGUCAGCCCUGACUUUGAGACCAGUGGGUGCACUGUUAAAGCUGGUGGAUGGUAUGGCGAGGAGCUGCUGCUGCCACCAUUAGGAUCUAUGGAGCAGAUGCAAGGCUCAAUGCAUAAGGCCAUUGGACACAAAUAAUAACAAUCAAAUGUGGUCUAAAGAAAUACCUGAGACCUAAUGAAAUGCUGUAUCAAGUGGUGGAUAUAUUAAGUUAAUUGGGUUUAAAUUGUUGUAUAAAUAUGGGGAGUUAAUAAUCAGUCAAGGGUGAGUUUCAUGGAGUGGGGCUAACUGAAAUAAAGCUCUCACAUCGAAGUGUGAACUUUAAUUAAAGUUAUCUAUUGGAGUGUAA
Long non-coding RNA from Rhincodon typus (whale shark), 768 nucleotides. RefSeq lists it as uncharacterized. The record is from RefSeq and is a predicted model, not a curated record. The transcript is spliced from 3 exons. NCBI's taxonomy places the organism in Eukaryota, Metazoa, Chordata, Chondrichthyes, Orectolobiformes, Rhincodontidae.